Molecule: long non-coding RNA, 462 nt
Filed under: Brassica napus (rape)
Lineage: Eukaryota; Viridiplantae; Streptophyta; Magnoliopsida; Brassicales; Brassicaceae
Description: long non-coding RNA (BNAP_LNC007014)
Source: RNAcentral
GUCCCUCGUGACCUCUGCCGAGGAUGUGACGGUGCCGAAACCACGGUCUCGGCGUUUGUCUCUGUCUCCAUGGCGGUCUCGACCCAAGCUUGAGGCAGAGGAGGAAGAGAAUAUGGCUCAGAAGAUAAGCAUCAAGACACCAGAAGAGUCAUGAAAAUCUUUACCAGAAACCUCAGGCUCCAGUUGGUCGCAGAACUAACUCUCUCGCUCUCCCUCGCAGCUCCGUUCCGUCCCUCGUGACCUCUGCCGAGGAUGUGACGGUACCGAAACCACGGUCUCGGCGUUUGUCUCUGUCUCCAUGGCGGUCGAGACCCAAGCUUGAGGCAGAGGAGGAAGAGAAUAUGACUCAGAAGAUAAGCAUCAAGACACCAGAAGAGUCUUCAUUGGUGGGAUCCAAAGCCAAGGAAGAGAGAAAAGGGAUAUGGAACUGGAAACCCAUUCGCGGGCUGGCCCGAAUCGGAA